This 300-nucleotide long non-coding RNA is filed under the name Elaeis guineensis (African oil palm). RNAcentral's name for it is "long non-coding RNA (EGUI_LNC063147)". Lineage: Eukaryota; Viridiplantae; Streptophyta; Magnoliopsida; Arecales; Arecaceae. The record is from RNAcentral.
CCCCCCUCUCCGUCUUUCUUUUUUCUUUCCCUCUCUUCCUUUUCUUCUCAUAAGUCUUGCUCAACAAUAAAGUAUCCAACCAAUCUGUAGGAUCCUAAUGCAUCAACCUGCAGGAUCCCAACACAACAACCCUCCUUCCUAACGACUGCUUCCUCCCUAUGCCGCAAUUCUUCAUAUGCUUGGAUCGAAUCCCUUUGUUCUUGGACAACAGAAAGAAUUGCCAACAACUGCGGUCUGAUUCAACAUCUGAAUCCUCCCUCAUCCAGAAGUCUUCAUCGACAUGUUUGUGAGAUCCCUUGC